This is an RNA transcript of Bactrocera neohumeralis, 3468 nucleotides long. RefSeq lists it as uncharacterized. The transcript has 3 exons. The record is from RefSeq and is a predicted model, not a curated record. NCBI's taxonomy places the organism in Eukaryota, Metazoa, Arthropoda, Insecta, Diptera, Tephritidae.
CUAAUAAGUUUAAUGCAGGGCUGCAAACCGGUUUUGAACCGAACCGGUUUUUGAACCGAACCGUCGUAUUUUUUCCGUUAAAAGCUGUACCACGAACCGAACCAUUUUUAUUUUGAAAACACUGAACCGAACCGAAAACCACUAAAACCUAAUGGUUCGGUUCGGUUCAAAUAAAGAAUUUUUCAGUCAAUUUUUACUCUAAAUAUUUGUAAAAAGUGCAACUCUGCGCCUUGCAUAUUUCAAGCAUUUUUAUAUUUAUAUGGCAAUAUUGUUGUAGUACUGACUUUUGUCAUCUGUAAAAUGCGCACAUCACUUAUUGCAUUUACAUACUCGCAACAUUUACGUAUUUGCUUUUCAAUUUUAAUAUGGUUAUUUAUUCAAAAUGAGCAAAAAUAAAGUGCAUGAAGAAUUCAUUUACAAUGCAAAAGAAAAUAAAAGUGUGUGCAAACAUUGCAACAUGCAAAUGGCUGGAAAACAUACGGAAAAUUUAUUAAGACAUGUGAAAAGGAAGCAUAGUGAUGUUGUGGAACUGUUGCCGAAAAAGAAAAAGAGUGAACACGUUAAUAACGACAACGGCAUUUUAAAAUACGUUGUAGCCAAGACGCCGAAGGCACAACUUUCUUUAACAAAGGAAUAAUUGUUGGAAGCUUGUUUGGAGCUGGUCACAAAGAAUGGCAGACCACUGAAAAUAUUAGAAGACAGUGGUUUUCGCAAAAUUAUUGAUCCGAUUUGCAAGACAGUAAAAGAAGAAAUUAUCCAAAGAGCCUUUGCGCUGCGUUCUCAAAUAACAAACAGAUUAACUAAUCGGUUACUUUCUAUUAAAGUUGAUUGCGUAAGUAUGUAGAUUAGAUCGAUCUAUAAUAGGUAUCAACGCACAAUAUAUUGAAAAUGGAGAAAUACAAAUUGAAACUUUGGCAAAGGAAAUAUUUGUGAAACAUACCGCACUGAAUCUCUUCAAUACAAUCACGGAUGUUCUUCAAUCAUUUCAAAUAAAUAUAGAACGGGUUUAUUCAAUAACAAUCGAUAAUGCCGCCAACAUGGUUUGCGUUGGUAAAUUAUUUAAUAAUAACUCAAAAGUGCCAAGUGAUGAAAAUAGCAACGAAGUUGCUAUCGAAGAUUCAGAUAAUGAUUUACUUGGAAAUGAAGGUGAAGAGGAUGAAAAAGAUAUUGACUGUGUAAACGAUGACCAAGAUAUGAUCGAAAAUGUCGAUCCAAAUGAACAAAUGUGUGAAGAACUCGAGAAUGAUUUUAUGAAAUCUUCCUCCGUUAGUUUAAUUCGAUGUGCCGCACACACUUUGAACCUGGCAGUAUCUGAUUUUUUAAAGGAUAUUAAGGAUGUGCGAAGCAAGGCCAAGGUAGUAGUCAAAAAAUUAAGAACACCUACAUUGCUGAAUUUGCUGCGAACAAAAAAAUUACGUAAGCCUAUGCUAGAAUGCGUCACUCGGUGGGGAUCUACUUACAAUAUGUUAAAGAGUUUAUUGGAGGUUAAAGAUUUUUGUUGCGAGAGCUCUAAAGAUAUUAAAGAGCUAUAUAUGACCGAUGAUGAUUGGCAGCAAAUUGAAAGCGCAUGCGACAUUCUUUUUCCAGCUUAUAAUAUUUCUCUCAAACUUCAAAACAAACAACUUGAAUUAGGUGACAUGUUUUUUGCAUGGUAUUCAUGCAAGCUAAAAGUGGAGCAGAAGACUGGGUGGAUGAGCAAGAAUUUCGCUGCAGCAUUGAAAAAGCGGGGUGAAUUAUUGUUAAAUAAUUCUUGCGUUUUAGCGGCUGUUUAUUUAGACCCCAGAUAUCAGCUUUUGCUUGGCGAUUCCGAAAAAGAAUUGGCAAAAAUAUUUAUAUAGCAAGUUUUCACAUUGAGGGAAAAUAUAAUUUGCCAGAAAAAUGUGGACCAAUCUCCCCAAUCGAAAAUAAGUUCCGAUGAUGAAUUUGAUGCUGUGCUCGAGCAGUUAUAGAGCCCAUACACGAGCACACAAGUGCGUUCGAUCGGUAUGAAUUCGUUUGCCCAUACACGACACACAUAUCCAUUUUGCGUUCGUUCUUCACAGAGUUAACAUGUGCGCAGGCAAGCGGAACAUUUCUUGGAAUUUAUUUCUAAUGUAGCAUUUUUAUCUAUUUCAUUGUAUUUCGUUAAUAAGUUAUUCCAACUUUUAUUUUUCUUACACUAUGUAUAUAUGUAUAUGAGCGCUUAGGCAAAAAAAGCCAAAACUUUGAAGCGUGAUUUCUCGGUUUUUCAUUUUAACGAUUAUUCUUAAUUGGCGGGCAGGAUAGAAAAAAACUAAACGUCGUAUGGAAUUAGGGCAUAGUUUAUUAUCAUUGGCAUAAAAUUAUCUUAUAUUUAAACUAAAAAAAUAUUAAGAAAAGUCAAGUUUUAACAUAUUUUUAAGCAGCAUAAAGUAAAAUUCUUUUGAUCAAAAGCCACUAUUUAUUCAAUUUUUAAUAAAAUUUUAAAUUUUACACUUUUUUUAAUUUUCUUAGUUUAACUAGAAGAUAAAUUAAUAAAAAAUAUGAAUCUCUUUGAAUUUUUUGUUUCCGAUAGAAAUUGCGACCUGCAUCCUGCCCGCCGUCCGAAAAAUGUACAUGCGAGAUGCAUCCGGUAAUUGCUUCCCAAAGGCAGAAUAUCAAAGAUUUCGUAUGCAAAAAAUUUGUGAAAGAUGUUUAAAUAUAGAACUAUAAAGCCUAGAAAUAUCGCUUGAAUCAAUUAUUUCUUUCCCUCCCAAAAAAAUCCUCAAAAAAAUCGAUUUUUUGAAGCCUUGAAAGCAGGCUCUCCCCUUAACACUUGCCAUUGUCCGCGAUCUUCACUGUUCGGCGACACGAGAGAAAUGAGAUUUUGUGCGCCGACAACGCCAUACACGAUAAACAUGUUCGCGCACCGAUCGUAAAAAAUCAAACAUUUUCGCGAACAUGGAUCGGUACGCGAACAAGCCCAUACACGAUAAACCGCAAGCGCACACAUACCGAUCGAACGCACUUGUGUGCUCGUGUAUGGGCGCUUUUAGACAAGCGAGCAUUGUCACCAGGCAAAAAAAUCAAGGGCAUUAUAAAUAGCUUUGCAAACAUUAAACGCCUUUCUAAAACAUCUAAUGUGUUAAAAUUUUGGGAAAAUCAUUCUGAAAUUGAAUUAAAGGCUAUAGCCAAUAUUGUCCUUGCUGCUCCUGCAACACAGGUAUCAGUGGAAAGAACUUAAAUUUAUAUUAUCCGACUUGAGAGCAAGUAUUGAUACAGAUUUAUUGGAAGACAUUCUAUUAUUAAAUUUAAACACAUAAAAAACAAUUACAUAUACUAAAAAUAUCUGAUGUAAGCAUUGAAUUUUAUUAUAUUUAUAUAUUUUCUUAUUAUACAUAAGUACCUACUAUAAGACAACAAAAGAAAAAUGUAAAAAGAGAAUUAAAAUAUUACAAAUAAUUGAUGCAAAAAUUGAAUUUCAUUGCCUACUAAAGGACAACAAUAAAAAAAUUAUAUAUAAAAAAUUAA